Molecule: long non-coding RNA, 651 nt
Organism: Cynara cardunculus var. scolymus (artichoke)
Lineage: Eukaryota; Viridiplantae; Streptophyta; Magnoliopsida; Asterales; Asteraceae
Exons: 3
Source: RefSeq, a predicted model, not a curated record
GAAGUAACGCGGACUGAUGACCCAGUUUGUAGUUGUAUCCAAUAUCCGGAAAAGGCUGCUAUUUUGCGUUGAUUUUAGAGAGAGAGAUGACUCAGAUCUCGUUGCGGUUUCUGUUAUUAUUAUCCUUAAUCUCUGCACAAUUCUUCUCUGGGUUUUCAGACGAUUCAAAUUCCAAAAAUGGGACAAAGGUUGAUGCCCAUUCUUCAAGUAGCAGAACUGGAUCAAUAAUACUCAUAAUUUGCAUUGCACUUGUGGCAGUUGUGGGUUUGUCAUUUUUCCUUUUCAGGUUAUGGCAAAAGAAGAAACGUGAUGAACAAUAUGCUCGUCUUUUAAAGCUGUUUGAACAAGAUGAUGAGCUUGAGCUUGAACUUGGUCUUCGUGAUUGAGUUAGUUCAAUCAAGGUGUAAAUGAUGAGGAUCCUGAAUGAGCAAAACCACAAGAGAUGAGGGUCUGAAGUUGUGAUUAGAAUUUGUAUAAUUUUUACCCAACAACAACACAUGACAAAAAGGUCUAGUCAUUUUUUAUUUCUCAUCCUAUCCUGUCUAUUAUGUUUUUAUAGGGAAAGAGGCUUACUUGUAAUAUAUUGCACAUACAUCCUUUGCUGCUGCUUCUUUUAAUUUCAGAAUGAACAAUUCCACCUCAUUUGCAUUG